Molecule: ribosomal RNA, 923 nt
Filed under: uncultured euryarchaeote
Lineage: Archaea; Methanobacteriati; Methanobacteriota
Description: bacterial SSU rRNA
Rfam family: Archaeal small subunit ribosomal RNA
Source: RNAcentral
GGCUACUGCUAUUGGAAUUCGACUAAGCCAUGCGAGUCUAAAGGACUUCGGUCCUUGGCAGACGGCUCAGUAACACGUGGAGAACCUGCCCUCAGGAGGGGGAUAACCCCGGGAAACUGGGAAUAAUACCCCAUAGGUCUAGGAUGCUGGAAUGCUUCUAGGCUGAAAGCUCCGGCGCCUGAGGAUGGCUCUGCGGCUUAUCAGGUUGUAGUGAGGGUAACGUCCUCACUAGCCUAUGACGGGUACGGGCCCUGAGAGGGGAAGCCCGGAGAUGGACUCUGAGACACGAGUCCAGGCCCUACGGGGCGCAGCAGGCGCGAAAACUCCGCAAUGCUCGAAAGAGUGACGGGGGGAUUCCAAGUGCCUACGCUCAGCGUAGGCUGUUCAGAUGCCUAAAAAGCAUCUGGAGUAAGGGCUGGGUAAGACGGGUGCCAGCCGCCGCGGUAAUACCCGCAGCUCGAGUGGUGGCCGCUUUUAUUGGGCCUAAAGCGUCCGUAGCCGGUCUGGUAAAUGCCUGGGUAAAUCGUCUGGCUUAACCAGACGGCUCCCAGGUAGACUGCCAGACUUGGGACCGGAGGAGGGAGAGGGUACUCCAGGGGUAGGGGUGAAAUCAGCAGAGCACCACUCUGAUGAUGUGAAUUGCUCUGCAAGUCACAAUCCUGUAAUCCCUGGAGGACCACCGGUGGCGAAGGCGCUCUCCUAGGACGGGUCCGACGGUGAGGGACGAAAGCCAGGGGAGCAAACCGGAUUAGAUACCCGGGUAGUCCUGGCCGUAAACGAUGUGGACUUGGUAUUGGGGUGGCUACGAGCUGCCCCAGUGUCGUAGGGAAGCCGUUAAGUCCACCGCCUGGGGAGUACGGUCGCAAGGCUGAAACUUAAAGGAAUUGGCGGGGGAGCACUGCAACGGGAGGAGCGUGCGGUUU